GUGAAGUGACUCUCAGAGCUGUUCUGGAGACGUUGUUUAUGUAUUUUUGUCCUCAUUGAGACGGCAGAUGCUGAAAUCACCGCGAGUGUCACACGCGCUUCAUGUAGUAAAAAAAAAAAAAACGCGUCUCUGCCAUUCAUUCAUUAAUUCAAACAGAGGCUUGCAGAACAUGCAAGAUUCAUAUCUGAAUCGACUUUUGCGGCUUAAUAUUUACAGAUACUAAUCCAUGUCGCGAUUUAAUUUAAGUGUAAUGACCUACUUUUGAUUAAUUCAUCCAAACUUUGACAAAUUCCGUGACAUUCCGUGCUAAACUGUAAAUUCCGUUUUUAUAACUGGAUUCCGAGAUUCCGUCCGUGUUUUCUGCAUCGCGGAAAUCAUAGGUCUGUACGCGUCAAGAACUGGGUUGACCGGGUACUCGGUACCACCGGUACUUACAAAAACCUGCUCUCUUUAGAUUACUGUAAAUGCAGUAGAGUGACAUCAUGAAGAGGCUCACCCAGGAAUGAUGUACGGGUCAGGCUGGAGGUCUCCUGAUCGGACACCAGAGCAGUUGAUGAUAACAUCAGCACCACUAUCUGCCAACUGAAGCCAAUUUUCCAGAGAUACGGCUGCCAGAGUCCAGCUGCCCCGUCGCUGGUGGUGAGUGGAGUGAAGACAUCAGCAUACACCUCUAUGGUGAGGGGGGUGAUCCUGCUGUGGAAGUGCUGGUAGAUGCUCUGAGCGGUGGAGAGG
Molecule: long non-coding RNA, 732 nt
Organism: Onychostoma macrolepis
Lineage: Eukaryota; Metazoa; Chordata; Actinopteri; Cypriniformes; Cyprinidae
Exons: 4
Source: RefSeq, a predicted model, not a curated record